Molecule: non-coding RNA, 1179 nt
Organism: Cicer arietinum (chickpea)
Lineage: Eukaryota; Viridiplantae; Streptophyta; Magnoliopsida; Fabales; Fabaceae
Source: RefSeq, a predicted model, not a curated record
UUGAUUACAUGGUCUUGAAAUAUAAAUGAAAUUUAAUUGAGAACUUACAUAAAAAAAAAUCCAAUUUUAAAUCUUUUGUAACAAAAAUAGCUCCAACAUAGUCAGCAAUAACAAUAGUCCCAUAGGUAAUUUAAUAUUAAUUGGUUUAAUUUUGAAAAACUUAGUGAAAACAUUAAAAUUAUUACAUACUCGACCAGUUGCUCCAUAAUCCUUGUGAUAAUUAUUGAUAACAAUUAAAGAAGGUUUACCUAUGGACUUGUCAGCUAGGGUUAAACCAAUUUGGGAAGUGGAAACUAUGUGAUUGGCGGCAUGAUUAGUCCACAAAUUAGCCCGAUGUAUUAGGUUUAGAAUUCAUUUGAUCUAAUCUUGAGUGAAUGGAGCUUGUUGGCUGCCAUAGUCACCAACUUCCUCAUUUUUGGUGUUUUCUUAUUCACUAUACAUAUUAUUGGCAGGAUUACCAUUCUUGAAUUUGAAAUAAGGUGGAAACCCAUGCUUUUUGUAACAAAUGUCAAUAGUAUGACCAAGUUUACCACAAUGAGUGCAGAGAACUAAAGAGAUGACUCUAUUCAGAUUUGGCAUAGGCUUCAUGACCAAUACUUGAAUUUUAACCACAUCAAAACUUUCAUUUAAACUAGUUAAAAAGGUGACCACCCUAUCUUCUUUGACAUAGGUUGUGGAGCCACAACUACAUGGUGGUAUAGGGAGAAAAUUAUCCAAUUCUUCCCACAAAAUAGUUAAAGCAGUAAAAAAAUCUGAAACAUUAAUAUUACCUUGUUUAAUUAAGUGAUUUUCCUUUUGCAAUUUUGAAACUCUGAUUAGACCCCUUUGUGAAAACCUUGCCUUUAAAUCAAUCUAGGCUGUGUUGGCACUAUCUUUAAAGGCAAGACUCUGGCUAUUGAUGGUGAAUCUGAAUAGAUGACCCAUUGAAAAACCAAACUAUUGCAUUAUAGUAAGUACUUGUAAGCUGGCUCAAAAUCACUUGGCAUGGGCAAAGAUUCAUCAAGAAACUCCAUGGUAUUCUUUCCCACAAUUGCUCUAGUCAUCGAAUAAGCCCAAGAAUUGUAAUUGGUUCCAUUAAGUACUAGAGUAACAGUGAUAUAAGAAGGACCCUUACUUGGGUGAAUGUAAUAUGGAUUGUUAGUGUUUUGUUUGGAAUCAAGAUUGACAUUGUUGUUGUUA